UCAUUUCCUCUUAUCCCUGUGUAUUAAUUAACCCAGUUUCAGAACUGAGGAAACUGCAACUCAGAAAGGUCAGAUAGCCACUGGCUCCAUGAAGAGUCAGGAAGCUGGUGACAAAGAAAUCGGAGGGCUGGAGGGUAAAAGCAGGCGAAGGUGAUACUCAGAGGAGAAGGACACUGGAGAAGUCAGUCCUGAACCCACCAAUGAGGCUUGCCCUCUCUCACCUGCUGCCAUGUAAGAUGUGCCUGCUUCACCUUCCGCCAUGAUUGUCAGUUUCCUGAGGCCUCCCCAGCCAUGUGGAACUCUCUGUCUUUUCCAGAAUAUCAUAUAAAUGGAAUCACACGAUAGGCAGCCUUUUGAGUCUGGCUUCUUUGACUGAACAGAAUGCAUUCAAGAACACCUGGCCCCUUUCCUAUGAAGAUACCCCAAGGUCUCAUCCAAGCAAUGCACCUAACUCAACAUCGAGGAUUACUGGGUGAAAUAUACCCCUCUCUGUUCCAUCUAGAUGUGGCUUCUUGUGAUCCGGGGACUGACAUUAACAAGGGUACUGGUCUUGGGAUAAGAAAUGAGAAUCUACCCAGAUCCUCUCCGGAAAAUCUGUUUUAUAAUUCCCUAAAGCUACAAUUACAUGCAAACUGGAUUCUUGAAAUAAAACACAAUUGAAUUUAAAUGACAUCUACAUGAAACCCAAUAACUCGAUUACAUUGUUUUAAUGUUCUUAAUGUGGUCAAAGGCAGCCCAUGGCUUUAUCAUCAAUUAGGUAAGCUUUUGAGGGAAAUUCUGAAAAAUGGCAAGUCCUCACGUGUGGACUGACAACUGAGCAAUUUGCCUGCUGUGCUUCAGAAAGAGAGGCCAGCUCUGUGAGGUGCUGUCGAAAUGACUGAAAACCACCCACUGCGGAUUUCUACUUCCCUCUAUGAAAACCAGCCUUCUCAGGGAUUAUCACCGCCAAUAAGAGGGGAAAAUUGCCUGCACAGUUGGUGAUUGUGGUUAACUGGUCAGGGAGGCUUCACGUACUGGCUCUUGGAAAAUUCAUAGGCAUACAAAGAUGCCAAGUGACAGGAGGAGGCUGGGGCAACCUGUGACAAAGGAGAACACAGCCACUUCUUCUACAGCAAGUCUGUGUAGAGCACCUAUUAUGCUUGAAACGCCCUUUCAAAAAAGCACAUUUCAGUCAAAAGAAUAAUGCUCUGACUUCUAAAAGCACCAAAUGUUAAUUUUCAAGGAACCAUGCCUCUUUUCCUUUGAUUAGAUCAGAAAAAAAUUGUACGUAUCUGUAAAAUUUAAGAAUGUCUGACCAAAUAAAAAAAUCUAUAAUUAUUUUUGGUUUUUAAUAUUUCCUCAUUUUUGUUUAUGUGACUAAAUAUUGAUAUAAAGGUUACAAUCAGAAUGGAUAUAAUAAUUUGUAAUUCUUGGCUUAACAAUAUAGUUAGGAUAUUUUCUCUGCUUUUUUAAUGUUGUCAUUAUUAAUGAAUGUGUAACAGCUUGUCUAUUUGAGGUACCUGAUAUAGAAAUUUAUAAAACUUUUGGUUAUUUCUAAUUGUGGAUACUAAAAUCUAAAAUAUGGUCACUGUUCGUAAUUGUUUACCAUCAUGGAUAAUAGUUAAUGCAGUUUUUUUCUUCUACAUAAUUCUCAAGAUAAAAUUCUGGGAUGGGAAUUACUGAGGUAUAAGGCAUGAACCUUGUCUGUUGGAUCCUCAAACAACUUCUCGCAGACUGUGCACAGCACAAGUCCAAGGGAUACUAUUCACAAAGCUCCUUUCACCCAAAACUGUAUGUUGUGGACAGCACCCUCGGCUUGACCCGCCACGACCUGACCGUGCAUAGCCACCCAGCAACCCAUCUUGAAAUAUCAGCCUACUGUUAAGUUGCUUUUUCAAAGAUUAGCCCAAAGAAUUUCAAGGAAAAAAGAGAAAAUCCCAGUCUCCUGCUUAAGUUAUUGUUUAAGGAGUUAAUUAGGGAUACAAGGACAGAAUAUUUAAUAGCAAUAAAUUAAAAUAGGGCAUUUCACUAUAAAAACCAGGGGUAGUUAACAGUAUAAUACUUAAGAUGCAUUUCUUCAGGAAAAUUAGGC
This 2071-nucleotide long non-coding RNA is filed under the name Homo sapiens (human). Its description in RNAcentral is "HSALNT0224663". Lineage: Eukaryota; Metazoa; Chordata; Mammalia; Primates; Hominidae. The record is from RNAcentral.